RNAcentral lists this small RNA (100 nucleotides) under Flavobacterium succinicans. RNAcentral describes it as "Flavo-1 RNA". It matches the Rfam family "Flavo-1 RNA". The record is from RNAcentral. Lineage: Bacteria; Pseudomonadati; Bacteroidota; Flavobacteriia; Flavobacteriales; Flavobacteriaceae.
CCUUAGCCCCGAUAGUAGCGGCAUCCUUUUUCAUACGCUUGGCAGGUCCCUAAAACCUGCCAAGCGUAUGAAAAAGAUAUAGCGAAUAGCGGGAACCCAU